RNAcentral lists this transfer RNA (25 nucleotides) under Arundinicola leucocephala. RNAcentral describes it as "partial tRNA-Met". Lineage: Eukaryota; Metazoa; Chordata; Aves; Passeriformes; Tyrannidae. The record is from RNAcentral.
GAUGGUUUAACCCCUUCCCUUACUA